This 484-nucleotide ribosomal RNA is filed under the name uncultured bacterium. RNAcentral describes it as "partial 16S ribosomal RNA". It matches the Rfam family "Bacterial small subunit ribosomal RNA", at positions 30 to 507 of the family's 1533-position model. The record is from RNAcentral.
AUUGAACGCUGGCGGCAGGCCUAACACAUGCAAGUCGAGCGGAUGAAGGGGGCGUGCUCCUGGAUUCAGCUGCGGACGGGUGGGUAAUGCCUAGGAAGCUGCCUGGUAGUGGGGGAUAAGGUCCGGAAACGGGAGCUGAUACCGUAUAGGUCCUGAGGGAGAACGUGAGGGAUCUUCGGAGCUAGCGGUAUCAGAUGAGCCUACGUCGGAUUAGCUAGUUGGUAGGGUAAAGGCUUACCAAGGCGACGAUCCGUAACUGCGCUGAGAGGGUGAUCAGUCACACUGGAACUGAGACACGGUCCAGACUCCUACGGGAGGCAGCAGUAGGGAAUCUUGCACAAUGGGCGAAAGCCUGACCGAGCCACGCCGCGUGUGUGAAGAAGGUCUUCGGAUCGUAAAGCACUUUUAGUUGGGAGGAACGACAGUAAGUGAAACUCUGCAUGUUUUGACGUUACCAACACAGUAAGCACCGGCUAACUUCGUG